Molecule: small RNA, 579 nt
Filed under: Histoplasma capsulatum
Lineage: Eukaryota; Fungi; Ascomycota; Eurotiomycetes; Onygenales; Ajellomycetaceae
Also listed under: 1 other name
Description: hypothetical RNA
Source: RNAcentral
UCAGGGGAGAUGUCAGAGAUGAGCGCAUCUCUCCAAUUACCUUGAAUGUUUUGUCAACAUUAGCAGAAAAUAUGAGAUCUGCCACUCCGUGGAUUUGAACAUGUAUCCACAUACUGUUUUCGUCCCAUCAUAUAGAUGUAAGCGGCGGGUCGAGGAUCUCGCUGCUUAUCUAGGGGAGGUCCUUAGGACUCUACGAGGAUAAAGCUAUGUAUACUAGUGGCAGCCUGCCCCUAUCACCCCCCUUCUGAGGAUGGGUAAAUGAAUCUCUAAAUCCCAGGGAUGAAGGCAUCUUUAAUUCCUUCAAAGAGUUGGAAAGUUCAUGCACAACACUCUUUAGCUGGAGCUUCAUGGAACAUACAGCUGGGAUAGAAUGGAGCAAUAAGCUCAGAAAAGCUAUGCUCUUAGAUAUUAUAUAUAUCAUCAAGGAAUAUAAUUGCUAGAUAUAUUAUCACUAGAUGUCAUCAAUAUAUAUCAUCAUCGAUAGGUAGGUAGGGAGGUAGAUAGGUAGCUAGUUAUAUCAGCAAUCAAUCGGAUAUCAAGCAGGUUGGUAGAUAGAUAGAUAGACAAACAAUUCAGGGG